Labrus mixtus (cuckoo wrasse) is the source of this 1155-nucleotide long non-coding RNA. RefSeq lists it as uncharacterized. The transcript has 4 exons. The record is from RefSeq and is a predicted model, not a curated record. Lineage: Eukaryota; Metazoa; Chordata; Actinopteri; Labriformes; Labridae.
GAGAGUAACAGGUUUUACUUUCACCGUGAGGACUGAAAUUCAUAGUACUAUAUACGAGGGUAGAAUAUUUCUCUAUGUAUCCAGAUAAAACUAAAGGUAAGAUCUGAUUUAAUAUAACUGUUACUGAUUUAAGAGACUAACUGAAACGUGAACACAAACAUCAACAACCUGCGGUGGUGUAAUGUAAUAUUAACUGAGCAUCAUGCUGCUUAAACUGAUAAAUAUUCUGCAUUGGCUUCCACACACUAAUUCAACAGUCACAAGUUGAUCAUAUUGUAAAUUUAAUGACGCUCAUUGAGAAUUUGUACAAAAAAUUGACAAAACCUGACCAAAAUUGCGGUGAUUGUGACUGUAUCUGUAUUUAACACCUUUGAAAGGAAGGUGUUAAUGCAGGAGAUCAGUGUUACACACAACAUGCUGCUGUUAUUGUAGUUAGGAGGAGACAUAGGUACAAUAAAAGAAGACAUAAAGAUCGCCUUUUUCCCCACACAUGUUAAUAUGUUUUAAAUGUCAUGCAUUUAUUUUUGAUUUCGCUUCAAUAAUCGUUAACGAAGAGAAACACCAUGAUUAAACUACAGGCUAUUGUUGCCUUUUUAUAGCCAAAGAAAACUGAACAUUCACAGCCUCUGCAUUCAAAAGAAUUUCAACAUUGACAUUUAUUUCUUCCUAUUUCCCUCUUUUCACCAACAUUAUAUUUUAAACUGAGGAUUUCCUUUUUCUCGGGUCUCUCGUCUCUCCCCCAGCUCGCCCCCUCCGGUGACCAUGAUGCAGCCAGACUGAAGCAGCACGUUGUGAAGGUGGACGCCAUCAUCUUGUCUUUGCAGCGCUGAUUCUGAAGAGAACGCCUUCACAUAGGACUCAAAGGAAAUCAAUGCCCAAAGGAAACAACAGUCCAGAGUCUGAUUCCAGCUCCGAAGAUGCCCUCAGAUUCAGAUCCAUCAGCAACCCCUGACAACAUGGAGGACUCGUCCCCUGAGCGUUUCCUGUCCUCUCUCCAUGGAGUUCUUCUCUUCAGUUAUUAACUAUUGAAAACAGCAGCACAACAUGCCAGACUGUUUGACAAGUCUGUGAUUGAAUAAAUGGAAAUGGAAUAUCAUGCGUAUCUUGCUAUGCUUAUUGGCUUUAAAUGUUUAGUAUUAAAUAAGUUUGAAGGCC